AUUGAACGCUGGCGGCAGGCCUAACACAUGCAAGUCGAGCGGAUGAAGGGAGCUUGCUCCUGGAUUCAGCGGCGGACGGGUGAGUAAUGCCUAGGAAUCUGCCUGGUAGUGGGGGAUAACGUCCGGAAACGGGCGCUAAUACCGCAUACGUCCUGAGGGAGAAAGUGGGGGAUCUUCGGACUUCACGCUAUCAGAUGAGCCUAGGUCGGAUUAGCUAGUUGGUGGGGUAAAGGCCUACCAAGGCGACGAUCCGUAACUGGUCUGAGAGGAUGAUCAGUCACACUGGGACUGAGACACGGUCCAGACUCCUACGGGAGGGCGCAGUGGGGAAUUUUGGACAAUGGGCGAAAGCCUGAUCCAGCCAUGCCGCGUGGUGGAAGAAGGUCUUCGGGUUGUAAAGCACUUUUAGUUGGGAGGAAGGGCAGUAAGUUAAUACCUUGCUGUUUUGACGUUACCAACAGAAUAAGCACCGGCUAACUUCGUG
This 484-nucleotide ribosomal RNA is filed under the name uncultured bacterium. RNAcentral describes it as "partial 16S ribosomal RNA". It matches the Rfam family "Bacterial small subunit ribosomal RNA", at positions 30 to 507 of the family's 1533-position model. The record is from RNAcentral.